Long non-coding RNA from Daphnia pulex (common water flea), 428 nucleotides. RefSeq lists it as uncharacterized. Lineage: Eukaryota; Metazoa; Arthropoda; Branchiopoda; Diplostraca; Daphniidae. The record is from RefSeq and is a predicted model, not a curated record. The transcript has 2 exons.
UCCCCUAAAAUUUCAAAGUUGGUUUUAUCACAAGUGUGUUGUCAAAGGGUGUCCUUCUUCUUUUCUGCGCCCUGCGAUCAAUUUUAAGAGCUCAUUAAUGGGCUGAUCUCCUGAUUGAAUAGCCAGUAUCAUGUUGAUAUGUAUUUUUAAUGAUUUCAUAUUCUCAUUAUUCUGAGGUCGACACAUUCAACUCAAUUGCUGUUUCUGAUCUACUGGCUGUUGCACAUAAAUAUAACAGUUACAGGCUAGGGAUAAACUCACAGCAUUGGAGGUUUCACAGGAAUUCCAAAUAUCGAUUGUGUUGGCACAAGAAAGUCUUUAUUUCAUGGAAAGAAAUGGAUUGAUUUGUAGAGAUGAUACUGUUAGAGGCCUUGUCUUUUAUCCUAAUCUCUUCUCAAGUUCUGCUUAAUAAACAUUUAAAAAUUGUA